Molecule: long non-coding RNA, 1248 nt
Organism: Alexandromys fortis (reed vole)
Lineage: Eukaryota; Metazoa; Chordata; Mammalia; Rodentia; Cricetidae
Exons: 3
Source: RefSeq, a predicted model, not a curated record
CCCCCUUUUUCCUUUUUAUAUUGAGACAGGAUCUUACUAAGCUGUCCCAGCAGGCUUUAAACUCACUCCAUCUGAGGCAGGCUUGGAACACACGAUUCCCCUGCUUUGGAUUCAUGAGUAGCUGUGAUUACAGGCCUGUAUCUCCAAGCCUGGCUUGGCCCCGCUUUAAAGACUUACACAGUACAAUUACAAUAGCAAUGACCACACAGAGAGCAAUUCCUAGACCUUUAGUCAGGACAUCCCCACGAGAAACAAGAUGACAGCGUGACAUGGGUAUCUCUGAGAGUAUGCCAAGGAACCGGCCCAUUUGGGAGGUGCCAGUUGUCACAUGUCUCCGACACCGUGUCAGGCCAUGGAAGGGCUGAAUCUCUAGUUCCUACCAAUCAGCAGCCUCUCUCUGCUGCAAUUAGCUCACACUUUGGUAGAUUCACUUUCACCCGACAGCAUUGUGUGUGUGUGUGUGUGUACACAUACGUGUGUGUGUGUAUGUGUGUGUGUGUGUGUACUGACUUUUCUUCCUUUUUAGGUACCUCAUUUGCAUGAAGGCCCGCCUGUAAGCUUUCUGGGAGAAAAGAUAUGAGGAUCCCAAGGCUGAAGUCGGGGCCUAUCUCCAGUGUGAGUGGUAAGAGAGGCCAUAUAGUACGGUUGGCCGUAAGACCAUGAGACCACACACCAGCAAUGGCCAAGAAUGGAAACCCCUAGUGUCCUUGGCAGGACGAAAGCAUAGCACGAAGGAGCAUCGGCGAUGCCUCUCACCCCCUGCAGGACUGGACAAAGACGGCCCUUGGAAGAACCCACCGGGUAGCCAGGGAAGAAUCAUCUGGGAGUGGCCUUGCCUAUGGCAGUGUCCACGAGGGAGGAGCAGAUGGGAGCACUGAAGAGCCCAACAGGUUAAUGGAUUGAACUCAGAUCACCUGGUUUGCCCACCAAACACUUUGGCCCACUAAGCCAUCUCAUCCACCCAGUCAGGAUGAUUCUAGAAACUUUUAAGGAAGCAAGCACUGAAGGGAAAGCAAACUGAAUAAAGUCCAUCUUUAAUCUGCGGUCUUCAGGGGAAGAAACUCAUAAGAAGUCCAGUAUCGGCAGGGUGGUUCGGUGAGUAAAAAGCACUUGCCAUAUAUGUCUGAUGACUUGAGUUUGAUUUCUGGGACCUGCUUAGAGCUGUACAGAGAAAGCCAGCUCCAUAGGGUUGCCCUCUGACCCCACACGGGUGCUACAGCAAUGCUCUACCUAACUAACCACUUACAC